Long non-coding RNA from Macaca mulatta (Rhesus monkey), 4169 nucleotides. RefSeq lists it as uncharacterized. The record is from RefSeq and is a predicted model, not a curated record. Lineage: Eukaryota; Metazoa; Chordata; Mammalia; Primates; Cercopithecidae.
ACGAGAACUUAGAGCAAAUUUCUGUUCUUAGUCUGUAUUUUCUUUUCUUUUCUGGUGUUUGCAUGUUAAAUUUUAUUUAUUGUGCUUAAGUAGAGUAGGUAUUUUAUUUUUUAUUCUCUUUUUCUCCUUUCUUAUAUUUUUUUCCCAUGGUUGAACUCAGUCCUCCGUAAUUUUGAUCGUCUGUUGCCCUUUGAUUUACAUUCACUUUUCCUCCUGUUCACAGCAUUAUUGGAAGGAAUACAUCAUUAUGAAGCAUUUUUCAAAAUAUAAAGUGGUGGUGCUGUAUAGCAGGGAAGGCCAUCCAAAGCCACUUCAGCCACUGACGACGCAGAAAAUGUCUUCUCAGCUGCUCUUGACUUCGGCAAUACCAUGUCUCUAGAAACACGAAAACAGCAGGGUGCUGGAGACAGCCAAACCUAGACCCCUCCCAGGUCUGUAAUUUUCAUCCCUGAUGCUCUCUGAAAUGGAGACAAUCACAUGUCAAGGAGAGAAGGGUAAGAGUCAUUGUGACUAUUCCUCUGUGAUCUCCCCUGAAAAGCGAUUGCUUUAUCGUCGCCAAGAAUUUCUGAAUCCAAGUUAGAAAGGAAAAAAAAAAUGCUUGCCAUGUUCUUAGUACCAUUUGCCUUGACAGGAAAAACAACAGCAUCUUGCCUCCUCAGCUUAUUCCUCAUCAGUGAACUCUUCCCCAAACAAGACACUCCACAUCAGCCAUUUGGGAUCGCUUCCAUCAGUGUUGUAACGAGCUCUUCUAUGCAGUUUGUACUCACUGCAAAAUGUACCGAAGCCAAGAGCAAGGAGUUGGUAAUCUGGGCACCCACAGUUGUGAUGAGGCAUCUUCAGUGUAAUCGUCCAAAUCAAAUAUUUGGCUGUGCUUCUUCAGAUGCAAUAUCUCAUAUUGUCACUGUUGAACUGGCAGAGGAGCGGAGCUCGCACUGGAAGAGAUGCACCCGAGGGAGCUGGGGGACGGGGUAGACCAGAGGGAGGAGAAGAGUCCUCACAGCAUUCACAGCAUGCCUCCUCUUCCUGUAAUACCUCUCGCCCUUUGUUCAUCUCGGUCAUUCCUCUAAAGCUGCUGCACCCCUUGGACGAGGGCCAAACCUUUAUAAAGCCAAGGAAGAAUAGUAGAAAAGCAUACACCUCUUUGUGGUCGAAUUUUCCUUUAAGCAGCAAAGAUUUCAAAUAAUAGUUCUCAUACUAGUAGUAUUUCACAAUUAUCCACUUCUAAGCUGUUAUCUGUGAAGGUGACAUGGCAGCAUGCUUUUGAAAUGCACCUUCUAGUCAAUAUAGCAAUUCUCACAUAUGUUAUUUCAUUUGGUUCUUAAGACAACCCCAUAAGCUAACAGUUCAGCUCAGGAACUGUUUUCCCCUUUUUUUUGUAGAAGAGACCCUAAGCACUAAAAAGGACUAAUAGCUCAUACAAGGAGCUGGGAAGUUACCCUCAAAAUCUGUGUCCACUCUUCCCGUCUGCUAUGCUACAUUUCCCGCAGGACCGUGAUUGCUUUUCACAAAAAUUUACAGAUAUUUUAGGAAAUAUUCACUCUCGUAUCAGAAAUGUGUCACCCUGUGCGGUACAUUUUUCAGACUAGAAAACCUCUGUGGAUUUCUUUAAAAUUCGUCACAAACACAAUAUUGUUAUUUAUUUUUUUUCUUUUCUAGUUGAGAGGGAAAAUUGAGUAUAUAAACACAGCUUCUCACUAACAUUCCUAUGUUACUACUUUGUUCAUAUUAUGCCCAGCUUAAAUGGACUGGGUUGACUGUACUCAUCACUCUCACCUGGCUCCCUUGUGCUUAAUCCUCUGGCACUGAUCUCUGGUUUGUUUGUUUUCUCAGGUGCAGUUGAUGGCUCCUGCUUCUAAAUCCACGGAUACACUUUCCUGUGGUGGCUACCUACUUGGAGUUCAGAAUUUCACCUGUCUUUGGACUGCCUGUUUCUGAGUUUCACUCGCCUUUUGAGACCUACUGCUACUUGUUCUAGACCUCCUGUCACUCUGUUGGCAUUUGUCUAUUUCUUCAUUAUCAAAUUUUUCUGAUUGAUAGGUUAUUCUGCCUCCUGGUCCCCAGAAACUCCCCAGGUCUACUUCAAGAUUAUGUUUACCUAAAUAAUUGGUCAAUUUUUACAUCCUUGUUUCUCUCAAGACCUGAUCAUCUCAGUUUAUUUAUACAGGUUAUUGAUAGUUAUUCAUAUAAGUCAAACGUAUCAACUGCCUGCAGUAUAAUGAACAUGAUAGAUUCAGAUUACAAUUUUUCUUGAAACUCAGGAGGGUAAUUACAGACAAAAGCAAGAGAAAAUAAGCCAUGGUAGAACCUUAAGCAGAUAAACGAGUUGAUGUAGAGAGUAUUUACGACAGAAUAGUCUAACAGUUCUAUGAAGAAUAGAUUGGCAAAUACGGCAACAUGGCAGAGAUCAAUAAAAGCCAUUUUAGUAAAACAGUGAAGAAAAUAGCAUGUGGGAUUGAGAAAGAAAGGAAACUAUGUAUGAGGUAUAUUUCAAAGGAAAGAGUGAUAGCUCUUUAUUCAUUAAUCCUUCAUCAGGCAGUCAUUCAGUAAGUCAACACAGAUUGAGCAUAUUUGUUAGGGAUGGAAUGAUAUGCCCUCACACCUGUGUUGAAGUCUUAACCCCUAGUACCUCAGAAUGUGAACUUAUUUGAAAAUAGGGUGCUUGCAGAUGUAAUUAAUUAAGAUCAGAUUUAAAAAAUCCUCUUGUUUUUCCUUAAAUAUUGAGUGAGAUGGACCGCUAAUCUUAUAUGGCUGGUGUUCUUAUAAAACAGGGAAACUUGGGCACAGACAGAUGUGCAUAGACAGAAGAUGAUGUGAGAAGACACAGGAGAAGAUGGUCAUCUACAAGCCAAGACUCCAUAAGCAAAUGGACUGGGGCAUGACUCAGUCAUAGAGAACCAAACCAACUAUGGCAUGCAGCAGAUGGCAGGAUUUAGAAGAUUCCACUCUGUAUCUCCAGCACCCAAUGUAAUUGGGAACACCAGUGGUUCGUGGUCCAAGAAUAACGGAAAUGUCUCAUGUGACAAUUGUGAAAUAUUUUUGGACCAUUAGAGCUUACUAAACAAAUUUAUUGAAACUUCGAAUCUGGGCUAAAAGACAGACAAGCUUUAGAAGUUAAUUUAUGACUGAACAGAUAAUUUUAGCUUCCUGGAAUAUUUACAUUUUAAUGGUGCGGGGAGGAGAAAACUCCAGAAACAUAGUGAUAUUCCUGAAUUAUAGAGCAGGGGACAUGAAUCUUGUCUUUCUCCUGAUGGAAAUAUUUUACAUUUUAAAGGGUUAGAGUAAGAAGCUAAGAUCUUUUCCAUUAUGUUUCCAAAAAGGCUCUCAGAAGAGGAAGGGUGAGCAGUCAUGUUUAUCUUAUAUUUAAACAUUCAGAUUCACGUUUUAGGGGAUUACUCACCUACAGCAAGAAUCCCUUACAUGUAGGAUGACAUCCGUGUUUUAUCACGUCACCUCAAGAGAAAAAAUUUGGGUGCUAGGGAAAUUUGUGAGUAUUUUUUACUAUAAGUAAAUAGCACUAAUCUGUUGUGCUACAGAAAACUUGUGAGUGAAUUACGAAUACCAUAAUAAAUAUAAGUGUAAAAAAUUUAACAUACACAAACUUCAAACUACAGGAGCGAGAGAAAAAAACAUAUAAAGAUGUUACGUUGCUGACUUUGAGGAAGUUAGGGGUCACAAGUCAAGGUAUGAAGGAAACCUCUAGAAGUUGAAAAUGGCAAGGAAAAUAAUUUGGGGUAGCAAAGAACUGUAAAAUUAAAUAACUUAAACUUAAUUUAAGCUUAAAUCUCUUGGAACUUUAAAUUAUCUUGAGCCAUGAAGGAAUGUGGCUAUGCAGCCUGAGACAUGUGACAUGCAGCUGCCAACUUCUGCCUUUUUUUUUCUUCCAUAAGUAAUUAAGACCAAACACACCAGAGGCAGAACUACCUGGGGUCAAAAAGUAAUAAUCUUCCCUGGAAUGUAGCAAUGUGUAACCAACCAAACCACUGCGACACAUGCACCUGGUCUUGUAUGGAAAAUGCUGUGAUUCUGCUGAAACUUCUUUAUUUCUACCUAGAUAAGUGAAACCUUAACUCCUCCACUUGGGGAAUGCUGAGCCCGUUCAUUCAGAGCCUGUGUUUCUCGUAUGGCUAUCCUCAAGCUCUGUGCUUGAAUAAACUCUGUGCUUAAUCAUA